Molecule: small nuclear RNA, 18 nt
Filed under: Arabidopsis thaliana (thale cress)
Lineage: Eukaryota; Viridiplantae; Streptophyta; Magnoliopsida; Brassicales; Brassicaceae
Description: snRNA_05188
Source: RNAcentral
GGUGUAAGACACUGAUGA